Molecule: ribosomal RNA, 229 nt
Filed under: uncultured prokaryote
Description: partial 16S ribosomal RNA
Rfam family: Bacterial small subunit ribosomal RNA
Source: RNAcentral
UACAGAGGGUGCGAGCGUUGUUCGGAAUUAUUGGGCGUAAAGGGCGCGUAGGCGGUGCCACAAGUCACCUGUGAAAUCUCCGGGCUUAACUCGGAGCCUGCAGGCGAAACUGUGGUGCUGGAGUAUGGGAGAGGUGCGUGGAAUUCCCGGUGUAGCGGUGAAAUGCGUAGAUAUGCGGAGGAACACCGAUGGCGAAGGCAAUCCCCUGGGCCUGCACUGACGCUCAUGC